CAAGUCGAACGAACUCUGGUAUUGAUUGGUGCUUGCAUCAUGAUUUACAUUUGAGUGAGUGGCGAACUGGUGAGUAACACGUGGGAAACCUGCCCAGAAGCGGGGGAUAACACCUGGAAACAGAUGCUAAUACCGCAUAACAACUUGGACCGCAUGGUCCGAGUUUGAAAGAUGGCUUCGGCUAUCACUUUUGGAUGGUCCCGCGGCGUAUUAGCUAGAUGGUGGGGUAACGGCUCACCAUGGCAAUGAUACGUAGCCGACCUGAGAGGGUAAUCGGCCACAUUGGGACUGAGACACGGCCCAAACUCCUACGGGAGGCAGCAGUAGGGAAUCUUCCACAAUGGACGAAAGUCUGAUGGAGCAACGCCGCGUGAGUGAAGAAGGGUUUCGGCUCGUAAAACUCUGUUGUUAAAGAAGAACAUAUCUGAGAGUAACUGUUCAGGUAUUGACGGUAUUUAACCAGAAAGCCACGGCUAACUACGUGCCAGCAGCCGCGGUAAUACGUAGGUGGCAAGCGUUGUCCGGAUUUAUUGGGCGUAAAGCGAGCGCAGGCGGUUUUUUAAGUCUGAUGUGAAAGCCUUCGGCUCAACCGAAGAAGUGCAUCGGAAACUGGGAAACUUGAGUGCAGAAGAGGACAGUGGAACUCCAUGUGUAGCGGUGAAAUGCGUAGAUAUAUGGAAGAACACCAGUGGCGAAGGCGGCUGUCUGGUCUGUAACUGACGCUGAGGCUCGAAAGUAUGGGUAGCAAACAGGAUUAGAUACCCUGGUAGUCCAUACCGUAAACGAUGAAUGCUAAGUGUUGGAGGGUUUCCGCCCUUCAGUGCUGCAGCUAACGCAUUAAGCAUUCCGCCUGGGGAGUACGGCCGCAAGGCUGAAACUCAAAGGAAUUGACGGGGGCCCGCACAAGCGGUGGAGCAUGUGGUUUAAUUCGAAGCUACGCGAAGAACCUUACCAGGUCUUGACAUACUAUGCAAAUCUAAGAGAUUAGACGUUCCCUUCGGGGACAUGGAUACAGGUGGUGCAUGGUUGUCGUCAGCUCGUGUCGUGAGAUGUUGGGUUAAGUCCCGCAACGAGCGCAACCCUUAUUAUCAGUUGCCAGCAUUAAGUUGGGCACUCUGGUGAGACUGCCGGUGACAAACCGGAGGAAGGUGGGGAUGACGUCAAAUCAUCAUGCCCCUUAUGACCUGGGCUACACACGUGCUACAAUGGAUGGUACAACGAGUUGCGAACUCGCGAGAGUAAGCUAAUCUCUUAAAGCCAUUCUCAGUUCGGAUUGUAGGCUGCAACUCGCCUACAUGAAGUCGGAAUCGCUAGUAAUCGCGGAUCAGCAUGCCGCGGUGAAUACGUUCCCGGGCCUUGUACACACCGCCCGUCACACCAUGAGAGUUUGUAACACCCAAAGUCGGUGGGGUAACCUUUUAGGAACCAGCCGCC
Molecule: ribosomal RNA, 1434 nt
Filed under: Lactiplantibacillus plantarum
Lineage: Bacteria; Bacillati; Bacillota; Bacilli; Lactobacillales; Lactobacillaceae
Description: bacterial SSU rRNA
Rfam family: Bacterial small subunit ribosomal RNA
Source: RNAcentral